Non-coding RNA from Brachypodium distachyon (stiff brome), 136 nucleotides. Lineage: Eukaryota; Viridiplantae; Streptophyta; Magnoliopsida; Poales; Poaceae. The record is from Rfam.
AUAGUACUCCCUCCGUCCAACAAAAGAAGUCUCAAAUUUGUUAAAAUUUGGAUGUAUUUAGACAUGAAUUAGUGUAUAGAUGCAUUCAAAUUUGGUCAAAGUUGAUACAUCCUUUGUUGGACGGAGGGAGUACCUA